This 441-nucleotide ribosomal RNA is filed under the name uncultured bacterium. RNAcentral's name for it is "bacterial SSU rRNA". It matches the Rfam family "Bacterial small subunit ribosomal RNA", at positions 356 to 786 of the family's 1533-position model. The record is from RNAcentral.
GGGGAAUAUUGCACAAUGGGCGAAAGCCUGAUGCAGCUAUGCCGCGUGUAUGAAGAAGGCCUUAGGGUUGUAAAGUACUUUCAUCGGGGAGGAAAAACAAAACUAAUAAUUUUAUUUCUUGACGUUACCCGAAAAAGAAGCACCGGCUAACUCCGUGCCAGCAGCCGCGGUAAUACGGAGGGUGCUAGCGUUAAUCAGAAUUACUGGGCGUAAAGAGCACGUAGGUGGUUUUUUAAAGUCAGAUGUGAAAAUCCCUGGGCUUAACCUAGGAACUGCAUUUUGAAACUGAAAUACUAGAGUAUCGUAGAGGGAGGUAGAAUUCUAGGUGUAGCGGUGAAAUGCGUAGAUAUCUGGAGGAAUACCUGUGGCGAAAAGCGGCCUCCUAAACGAAUACUGACACUGAGGUGCGAAAGCGUGGGGAGCAAACAGGGAUUAGAUACC